AGGGCACCAAAAAUCCACACCCACACAAGACAGCAAACUUAAUUGGUAAGUGUUAUGUGUGUUCUUUCUGCUCCACUAGCUCCUCUCUUUGGACCUCCCUAUUCCUUGAGACACAAUAAUUUAUGCAGUAAACUUCUCUGUUGUCUUUUUUUAAAGAAAUUGCCACAUUUCAGUGACCACUACUCUGUUCAGUCAACAACCAUCAUUAAAGAGGCAAACCCUCCACUAGCCAAAAGAUUACAACUCAUUGAAGGUUAAUAUGAUGGUUAGCAUUUUUUAGCAGUAAAGUAUUUUAAAAUUAAGGUAUGUACAUUGUUUUUUAGAUAUAAUACUGUUGCACACUUUAAUAGACUACACUAUAAGGUAAACAACUUUUAUAUGCACUGGGAAACAAAAAUAUUCAUGUGACUCACUUUAUUGCAAUAUUUGCUUUAUUGCAGUGGUCUGGAACUUAACCCAUAAUAUCUCUGAAGUAUGCCUGUAGACGGCCAGAUGUUUUACCCUGCUAUGUUAAGUCAUCUUGACAUCCUGCCAUGAAAUGGAAACAACUGCUAGUUUUAAUAUUGCUCCAUAUCUUUAUUACGGGGUUCUCUUUGUCAAAGAAAUGCCCUGACUUGAUGGAACACCAAAACCUCAUUAAAUUGCAAACAGUAGAUGAUAAAAGAUGGAGAAAGGGCCACGCCACUCAAAGCACGGCAGCUGUACCGGUGGUGCUCCAGAAGGACAAUGCGUUCUCCACGUCAGGGCUGCACACAUGGCCCCAUCCAUGAAUCAGAGGCUGUCUUUAUUUAAACUUUGUGUCUUCAUCACCUAGCGAUCAGAGCACUCUGCAAACAGUAGGUACUUAUUAAUGAAGAUCUUUGGGGGUGCAGGGGCUGUCUAGCACCUAGCAUAGCAUCAGGACAUAAUUGAUAAUAAAUGCUUGUCAUUUGAAUGAAUAAAUGGCUGU
RNAcentral lists this long non-coding RNA (949 nucleotides) under Monodelphis domestica (gray short-tailed opossum). RNAcentral describes it as "lncRNA (ENSMODG00000037044.1)". Lineage: Eukaryota; Metazoa; Chordata; Mammalia; Didelphimorphia; Didelphidae. The record is from RNAcentral.